UACGUAGGGCGCAAGCGUUUGUCCGGAAUUAUUGGGCGUAAAGAGCUCGUAGGCGGUUUGUCACGUCGGAUGUGAAAGCCCGGGGCUUAACCCCGGGUCUGCAUUCGAUACGGGCAGACUGGAGUGUGGUAGGGGAGACUGGAAUUCCUGGUGUAGCGGUGGAAUGCGCAGAUAUCAGGAGGAACACCGGUGGCGAAGGCGGGUCUCUGGGGCCGAUACUGACGCUGAGGAGCGAAAGCGUGGGGAGCGAACAGG
RNAcentral lists this ribosomal RNA (255 nucleotides) under uncultured bacterium. Its description in RNAcentral is "partial 16S ribosomal RNA". It matches the Rfam family "Bacterial small subunit ribosomal RNA", at positions 524 to 776 of the family's 1533-position model. The record is from RNAcentral.